UAUUGACCCUUCUUUAUGUUAUCUGAAUAAAGAAUAUUGUAAAAGAAAAGGUACCCUCCCUCCUAUUGAUUCAUUGCUUUUAAAUUUCAAAAGCACUAUUUUCUUUCCAAACAAACAAGUAGAUCUUCCAAUACUGGGUUUCUCCACCUACAACAAUGGAGCACAAGAUUGACGCCAUGGCAGUGAAGAUUGAGGCCUUGGAGCAGAAGAUUAAUGGGUUGGUGAAUUGUUUGAAAACUAAUGAAGAUGUAGUUGAUCUACAAGCUAGGCUUGGCACUGAGUUGUACAAAAUAAAGAACUUGAGUGAUGUGGAUGCCUAUCGAGCCAUCAACAUUCUAGCCACAAGGCAUGAUUUGUUGAGGGUUUUCUUUGGCUUGCCUGCUCAGAUGAAGAAAUCGUAUGUUGAGAACCUUGCUACUUAUGGACCAAGAACGAUAUAGCUAUACAUAAGUUAAGCAUAAAAACAUUUUGUGAGGCCUUAGAUUUAUGCCUAACUUGUCAAGUGGAUGGAUUGUUUGUUCCAUGUCCUUUUUGUAUGCAUGCUUUUCAAUGAAUCAAUUAAGGUUGAUUCUAUUUUUUUUAGAAAUGUUAAAGAGCAUCCUAGGGCGCCUAACACCGUAUAAUAUCGCUAUUGGUGCAAAUAUAUAUCGGGUUUUACAUAUUUUAAUUUGAAUAAACUUAAAUUAAAGUAUGUGAGACUCACUAUUAAAUUACACCAAUAAUGAUAUGACCAUAGAGUGCCUUAUUGGAAAUCUCUUUUUUAUAGUCGCUUGUGAUCAACUUUAUAAAUCUAGAAUGUUAUUUAUUUGCACCUCUUCAA
Long non-coding RNA from Humulus lupulus (European hop), 820 nucleotides. RefSeq lists it as uncharacterized. The record is from RefSeq and is a predicted model, not a curated record. NCBI's taxonomy places the organism in Eukaryota, Viridiplantae, Streptophyta, Magnoliopsida, Rosales, Cannabaceae. The transcript has 2 exons.